GACGAACGCUGGCGGCGUGCUUAACACAUGCAAGUCGAACGGUAAGGCCCCAGCUUGCUGGGGUACACGAGUGGCGAACGGGUGAGUAACACGUGGGUGACCUGCCCUGCACUUCGGGAUAAGCCUGGGAAACUGGGUCUAAUACCGGAUAGGAGCGCACCGUGGGGGGGGGGUGGCAAGUCUUUCGGUGUGGGAUGGGCCCGCGGCCUAUCAGCUUGUUGGUGGGGUAAUGGCCUACCAAGGCGGCGACGGGUAGCCGGCCUGAGAGGGUGGACGGCCACCAUGGGACUGAGAGACGGCCCAGAGUCCUACGGGGGGCAGCAGUGGAGAAUAUUGCACAAUGGGCGGAAGCGUGAUGAGGCGGCGCCGCGUGGGGGAUGAAGGCCUUCGGGUUGUAAACUGCUUUCAGCAUCGACGAAGGUUUUCUGACGGUAGAUGGAGAAGAAGCACCGGCUAACUACGUG
This 464-nucleotide ribosomal RNA is filed under the name uncultured bacterium. RNAcentral's name for it is "partial 16S ribosomal RNA". It matches the Rfam family "Bacterial small subunit ribosomal RNA", at positions 28 to 507 of the family's 1533-position model. The record is from RNAcentral.